UAAUUCAAAUUCAGUUUCAAAAUUCAGUUUUUGGUGCCACACAUCUGGGUCCUUGAGGAAGGUCACAGAGUAAUCAAACUCAGAUUCACCGAUUUACGGUUCACAUCAGGUGAAACCUCCUUUACGGCACUUGUUUACAGAGUACUUGAGCUUGACGGGGGUCCACCAUGUCAGAUGACCAGCAGUCAAACUCUCAGGCAGAUAACUCAGAAGUUGUCAGGUCAGCAAGACACCUCCUAAAUUUACUAACAAAUGCAUCUACCCCUGGCACUGUUCGGUCCAGUGUUCAGACUGCCCAAGAGCCUUCCAGGUGUUGUGAAACUAGACACAACAAGAAACACCUAUAGAUUAGCAGAACAUUUAAAUUAUCUGUGUUAAUGUUGUACUGUAUGAAUUACUCAGCAUUAAAUGAUGUGAUGCAUCCUCCUAAUAUUGUGUCAUUCUAGUAGACAAGGAAUGAGCCAGGAGAGAGAGAGAGAGAUGUCCGACCAAAUAUCCACACAGAAAUGACUAGGUUCCUUAUUGUAUUUAUUCCUUUGUCAGAUUUGUUCAUUACAUUUACUUUUAAAAUUUUUUAGAAGCAAUAACUUGGUCAAAUGUACAGUAACAUUGUUAUGUCAAUUUUUAAAAAUCAUUACAUGUCUUUUCCUGGUCUUUAUGGACACAAGGGGAAACGUUGAUGCUUUCAAGGGCCUUCCAACCAAUUUCCACCUGUUGAGAUCAAAUUUACAUUUUAUCUCCUACCCAAGCCUGUUCAGUCUACGCCUAAAGGCAGUGAAAAAGUCUUCCAUCUACAAGCCUGUUUGGGACGCAGAUCUACAGCAAUACCUAAGAACUUCAGUCAUGAUGAAGUAUGUUCAAGACUCAAAGAACUGUAUCCAAAGCUGGAAAGCAUUUCUGGGGGCUGGCUGAUUUGCAAAGGAGCAGGUGGAUGGGGUUCCCGCAAGCUAAAUAUGGUGUCUCCUGAAGACAGUGGUUACACUGGCUCACUGCUAAAGACUGCAAGUGGAAGUGGCAAAACUGUGUUGUACAUUGCUCCCAACCAGGAAGAGCUAGACACCCAGCCACUGCCCCCUGGAUCCAGCUCAUUCUCUAGUAUGCCAAGGCGAUGUGCCACUCCUGUCACACCAACCAUCCUCUUCAAAUCCUAGCACUUCACGUUGAAAACUGUCAGCCUGCUGAAACUAAUGUGCUAGAGAUUCCUGAUGAAGACUUGGAUUGCACACCACUUUCUACCCCAGAUAUUGAUGGAAACUAUCAAUCAAACUCAGACCCGAGGACUCCGUGCCCUAUCUGUGGUCAGACAUUUUCUCAGAAUGAGGUGGAGGCACAUGCAAGCGAGUGCAGUGAGAGCAAUGCAAGCCUCCUUCCUUUAAAAGAGAAGAUUUGCCUUUCCAGUCUGGAUGAUAUCCUGCAGGCCAUAACAGCUGCUGUGAAAACACAUGAAGAGUUCCCCAUCACAAUAUCAACAUGGUAGAGCGAGGCCUUGCACAGUGGAAGAGGCAAAAAAGGGCAUUGCUACCAAUCAGCUGAGGGUGACAUUUAUUGGAGAGGCAGGCGUUGAUACCGGGGCAUUAGGGAGAUAAUUCCUUACAGAUAUGGUUGCAGGCUUGGAGCAAAGAUUAUUUGAGGGUGACCACACUGGGAAGUCUCCCAAAUAUUCCUUACUCGAUCUUGAUCAUGGAAACCUCCGGAGUGCCGGUGAAGUUUGGGCAGCAAGUCUAGCACAAGGUGGGCCACCACCCUGCUGCCUCAAACAUUGGUGUUAUCAGUAUUUGUGCAAUGGAGAGCUGCAGAUUGAAAACAUUACGAAAGAAGAUGUCUGUGAUGUUCAUUAUACCUCUCUCAUCUCCAAGAUUGAGUGUGCCACAGAAGAUGAAAUGACAGAACUCACUGAGGAAAUGUUGAGCUGCGGCUCUCAUGGACCUGUUAAUGUUGACAAGAGAGAAGAAGUUAUUCGUGCCAUUGUUCUUCAUGCCAUACUUCGGUUGGUGCCCAGCUACUCUCCCAGCUACAUGAUGGUCUGAAACUUUAUGGUCUUAGUGAUCUAAUGAGCCAAUACCCAAACAUCUGUUGGCCACUGUUAGGCCCUGGAGUGGAAAUUAAGUUGAGGCAGCUAAGGUACCUACAUGAAACCUAUAGAGUUAGAGGCUGAUGCAGACUUCGCUUUUGAAUCAUGCCAUCCCAAGUUCAGUGAGAAGGGCUCCAACAAAGAACAGCUGGAAAUGAGCAUUAUGAACCAUCUACAGGACUUUUUGCAAAAGCUGGAAUCAUGUGAAGAGCCAGAGGCGGGUGACAGUCCAGUUCUCAACCCAAGCACAUUCUUGCAGUGGCUUACGGGACAAGGCCACAUUCCUUUCCUGCUAGAAGAGAAGAGAAACUUCAAAGUCUUCGUGCAGUUCAACCACACCUGUC
This is a long non-coding RNA of Girardinichthys multiradiatus, 2415 nucleotides long. RefSeq lists it as uncharacterized. The transcript has 15 exons. Lineage: Eukaryota; Metazoa; Chordata; Actinopteri; Cyprinodontiformes; Goodeidae. The record is from RefSeq and is a predicted model, not a curated record.